GUGCACCAGGCGCGAAUACUUUACAAUGCGGGAAACCGUGAUAAGGGAACCUCGAGUGCUGGCGCAUAGCGUCGGCUGUCCAGAUGCCUAAAAAGCAUCUGAUAGCAAGGGCCGGGCAAGACCGGUGCCAGCCGCCGCGGUAACACCGGCGGCUCGAGUGGUGGCCACGUUUAUUGGGUCUAAAGCGUCCGUAGCCGGCUCGGCAAGUCCCCUGGGAAAUCUGGCGGCUCAACCGUCAGGCGUCCAGAGGAUACUGCUGGGGCUUGGGACCGGGAGAGGUGAGAGGUACCUCAGGGGUAGGGGUGAAAUCUUGUGAUCCCUGAGGGACCACCAGU
This 335-nucleotide ribosomal RNA is filed under the name uncultured microorganism. RNAcentral describes it as "bacterial SSU rRNA". It matches the Rfam family "Archaeal small subunit ribosomal RNA", at positions 330 to 664 of the family's 1478-position model. The record is from RNAcentral.